GGCCCUACGGGGGGCAGCAGUGGGGAAUAUUGGGCAAUGGGCGCAAGCCUUACCCAGCAAUACCGCGUGAGUGAAGAAGGUCUUCGGAUUGUAAAGCUCUUUGAUCAGGGACGAACAGAUGACGGUACCUGAAGAACAAGCCCCGGCUAACUACGUGCCAGCAGCCGCGGUAAAACGUAGGGGGCGAGCGUUGUCCGGAAUGACUGGGCGUAAAGGGUGUGUAGGCGGUGUAGCAAGUUAGAAGUGAAAUACCUAGAGCUUAACUCAGGUGCUGCUUCUAAAACUGCUAUACUUGAGUGCAGUAG
RNAcentral lists this ribosomal RNA (305 nucleotides) under uncultured bacterium. RNAcentral's name for it is "bacterial SSU rRNA". It matches the Rfam family "Bacterial small subunit ribosomal RNA", at positions 335 to 654 of the family's 1533-position model. The record is from RNAcentral.